GUGCCAGCAGCCGCGGUAAUACGGAGGAUGCAAGCGUUAUCCGGAUUCAUUGGGUUUAAAGGGUACGUAGGUGGCCAGUUAAGUCAGUGGUGAAAACCUGUCGCUCAACGAUAGGCGUGCCAUUGAAACUGAUUGGCUUGAGUACAGAUGAGGUAAGCGGAAUGUGUAGUGUAGCGGUGAAAUGCAUAGAUAUUACACAGAACUCCGAUUGCGAAGGCAGCUUACUAAACUGACACUGACGCUGAGGUACGAAAGCGUGGGUAGCGAACAGGAUUAGAUACCCUGGUAGUCCACGCUGUAAACGAUGCUCACUCGCUGUAUGCGAUACACAGUAUGCGGCCAAGCGAAAGCGAUAAGUGAGCCACCUGGGGAGUACGCCGGCAACGGUGAAACUCAAAGGAAUUGACGGGGGCCCGCACAAGCGGAGGAACAUGUGGUUUAAUUCGAUGAUACGCGAGGAACCUUACCUGGGCUUAAAUGGGGAGUGACAGAUCUGGAAACAGGUUUUUCUUCGGACACUCUUCAAGGUGCUGCAUGGUUGUCGUCAGCUCGUGCCGUGAGGUGUCGGGUUAAGUCCCAUAACGAGCGCAACCCUUACCGUUAGUUACCAUCAGGUUAAGCUGGGGACUCUAACGGGACUGCCACCGUAAGGUGAGAGGAAGGUGGGGAUGACGUCAAAUCAGCACGGCCCUUAUGUCCAGGGCUACACACGUGUUACAAUGGCCGGUACAAAGGGCAGCUACUCUGCGAAGAGAUGCUAAUCUUCAAAGCCGGUCUCAGUUCGGAUCGAAGUCUGCAACCCGACUUCGUGAAGCUGGAUUCGCUAGUAAUCGCGCAUCAGCCAUGGCGCGGUGAAUACGUUCCCGGGCCUUGUACACACCGCCCGUCAAACCAUGGAAGUUGGGGGUACCUGAAGUCUGUUACCGCAAGGAGCGGCCUAGGGUAAAACCAAUGACUGGGGUUAAGUCGUAACAAGGUAACCGU
This 984-nucleotide ribosomal RNA is filed under the name uncultured bacterium. Its description in RNAcentral is "bacterial SSU rRNA". It matches the Rfam family "Bacterial small subunit ribosomal RNA", at positions 505 to 1503 of the family's 1533-position model. The record is from RNAcentral.